UAAACCAAUUCCCUUAUCUACACAUCAGGCAUCUAGUUCAACUCCCCCUUCCAACCUUGACUUCACUGACCAGGUAUGUGACAGAAUUUAUGAUGCUGACCCAGUUCAGACGCUGAGAUGAACUCUCUGGCCUGUCACGGUUUAGGUGUUUGCAGGAACUCAAGGACAAAAAAGGAGAGUAAUCUCAAGUUGCUUGGCAGCAAGUCUGCUAGAAAAGGCAACAUAAUUAGCAAGACCUUAGCCAUAAAUAUAAGGAAAGAUUGGCUUCUAGGGAGGUAUCAAGAAUGACAGAAAUUCAGCCAUUUGAGUCUGAAGGGAAAAGAUAUAUCCAAAAUGCACUGUGUUUUUCUGUAUGGUUUAACUCAAACUUGAAUUUUGCUGUUCAUAGACACUCCAAAGAAAUGUGCCUUUUUUUUUUUUUGCCAUAAAAUCAAAUUUAGGGAGACUGUAAUUACAGGUAACCAUGUACUUUUCAACCCACUCCCCCUCCAAAAAAAGGCAAUAGUUCUAUCAUGCUUACAUGGUAAAAUAAUUGUGUACUCUAUGAAGUUUUUGUUUCACUGUUUUUUAUACACACAGAGAGAGAGCCAUAUAAAAGUUGUCAAGGGGAAAUUUGCUUUGAUUCAUUUUAGCUUCUGGAGCUUGAUUUUUCAGUACCAUGAGCCUGUACCAAGCCUAUGAUUUUUCUGUCUGAAACACAAAGGCUGAAUUUGGUAUUCUUAUUUUAGGUCUAAACGAUCUGACUGUGCUUUAAAGAACACAGGAAGGAAAGGAAGAAGAAAAAGAUGGGGGAAAGCUCUUCAGAUUCCAAAUAUCAAGCAAAGAGCCUGCCUACCUCCACCCGACCCUGCCUCAGACCAUGACACUGGGAGUUACCCCUUCUCAGAAACACAUAGAAUUAAUAUCAACAAAGAGGAAGGAGCAGGAGAAUUGAUGUACCUUGAAGGCUUGUUUUAUUCCAGGCUUCAGGUUAGGGAUUUAACAAGCAAAAAUCUCCUUUUUCCUUCGUGAUGGUCCUGAAAGGUAGAUGCCAUCAUUACUUCCCAUUGCAGUUUUCUGUUGCUGCUUAGCAAACCACCCCCAGCCUUCAUGUCUCACAGUUCUGUGGUUGACUGUGCUCAGCUUGGUGGUUCUCCCUUGGGGUAUCUCGUGUUGUUGCAGUCAGAUAGCAGCUGGGCUGGAGUCAUCUGAAGCCUCAUCUGGGCUGGAUGUCUGAAAUGGCUUCUUCACUGACAUCUCUGCGUUUCAGCUGACAUGGCUGAAACAGCUGGGGACUGGCCAGUAUCUCUGUCUUCCUCUCAGUGUGGUUAGCUCAGGCUCACUCACAGCAUGGCGGUGGCUUCCUUUAGCAGGAGUGUUCUAAGGAAGGAAGCAGAAGCUGUUGAUCUCUUAAGGCCUGUGCACGGCAACUGGCACGGCAUCACUUCAGCUAUAUUGGUCAGUCCCAGAACCCACCCAGGUUCGGGCACAAGGGGAACAGAUCCUCCUUCCUGAAAAGCAGACAUUGACAUCCUCACCAGCUUUCCAAACAUCUGAUCCAUUGCUCCUAAGCCUUCCAUGGUAUUCGGAAAAGACUAAAGGACUGAACAAGAGAAAAGGAAAGGUGCUUGCCUAAAGGAACAAGAAACACCCACUGGAGGCGAGUCUCCUGCAUCUUCACUGAGGAUGACUUGUAAGAGCCUUUCAAUCAUUCUAUUUUAAAAAUUAAGAAGAACCAUGGCUCAGAAGCAGCAUCUGGAUGAAAGAGGGGAGAGAAUUCAUUUUGAGCUACUCAUUUUCUAAGAGCUUUCUGAGGGUGGAAAUAGCACCAGAUGGAAUGCAAAGAAUCCUGUAAGCAUGCAAGGAUCCUGCCCCUUCUCUCUCCAACCCAUCAUUUGCCCAGAAGACUAAGGAGCGAAGAGGAAUAAGAAUUGGUCCUGCAGGAGUGAUGCUCUUGGGAUAUUGCCAGGAUUCUAAGAUCAGGCAGGCUCUAGCCACGUGACUUUCCUUGGAGGCUCCAGGCUGAGAUCGGCCACGCCAUGUGCAACUCUCAGCUCAAAGAGACAACCUCUCUCCCAGCGUCUCCAGCAAGAGUUCCAGGAUUGAGUCUCAUUGGCCUGGCGUGGGUUAUAUUCUCAACCCAAAGGCGAUCAUAUCGGCCAAGAGGAUAGCAAAUGAUGAUUGAUCAGGUGUAGAUCACAUGCCCAGCCCUGGAGCAGAGCAGGUGAGGUCUGGAUUCCCCCCUGAUGGCUGGGACCAGGAGUGAAAACAGGUUGCUCAUCAUUAGGAAAUGAAUGCCAGGCAGGUCAAAGAGCAGAUCUCCAGCUCAUGCCCCCCUCACGUGUAAACGAACAGUCUCUUCUGGGGUCUUAGCUGACUCGUGUGGGUCCUGGAAUAGAGCAGGCCCUUCCUGGGCCCGGGGACGCUGCCUUAGGCUCCUUGAGAGCUUCGCACUUCUCUCGUUCCCUUUUAGUGUAUCUCUCUGGAACACAGAAAAAUGGGCUUUAAACGGCAUUUCUGAAAGGGCCUUCAUCUCCAACGACUGGCCCACGCGCACUGGACAAUCAGAACAUCAAGGGGAGGGUGGCGGGGAAGGCAGAGAUAUUUGUAUCUCCAGGUCUAAGUUCCAGCUGUACCACCUGCUUCCCAUGUGCUCUUGGACAGGGUAAUCAAAGGAAUUACUCCCUACCUCAAAGACUGGUGAGGCUGUGAAUACUUGAAAUUACGAGAAAGCACUUGAUAGACUAUCAGUAGUUAUGGUAAUAGCUGUGUGUCAGUACAUACAUUAUAUUUCUUGCUUUUUAAAUUUGUAUUUAUUUGGCCAUGCUUUUAAUAUAUAAAUAAGUAAUUUAUUUAUAUAAUUAAUAGACAAAUAUUUAUUGAUCGGGUUUUUGUUGCUGCAUGGGAUUUUCUCUGGUUGAGGCAAGCAGGGGCUCCUCUCUGACUGUGGCACACGGGCUUCUCCUUGCGAUGGCUUCUCUGCUUGCAGAGCACAGCCUCAAGAGUCGUGGCACUGGGCUUACUUGCUUCAGGGCCUGUGGAUCUUCCCAGGCCAGGGACUGAACCCAUGUCUCCUGCAUGGCAGGCGGAUUCUUUACCACUGAGCCACCAGGGAAGCCCUAUUUCUUACAUUUUAAAGUAAAGAGAAAUGAGUCCUGGAGAGGCUAAGAAACUUAGUCACAGUUACCCAGUUGGUAGAGUUGAGCUUUGAAUCCCGGUCUUUGUCACCCCAAAGCCUACAUUUUGUCCACCAUGCAGAUGGUGGCAGACACCUCAGAUUGCCUCCAGAAACUAUCCCUUUCCCUCAUCAUUCUUUCUUCCUAACCAGCAAGACCCUAUUUUGCUCUGGGUAGAAAUGGGCCUAGCUCUUCAUCAUGCCUCAUGAUUGGUCUAGGCUAACCCUAACUCUCCCGUUUCCCUCUACAGAAUAUUUACUUCCCCAGGCUCCUUUACCACAAGAAGUGACCAGUGAGAUAUAAAGGGGGGGUCUUCUGAGGGAGGUUUUGGGAAUCACCUUCUACCUAGUUAAAAAGAAACACGGCUUCUUCCUUCCCCAUUCUCUUCUGCUUGGACCACUUGUGUGGAGACAUAUGCCUGGAGCCAUUGCACCCAUCUUGUGAUCAUAAGGUAACAAGCACAAGGAUAAAAAGUCAACUCGAUGGCGAUACAGAAGCCUAGCUCUUUGUGGACACCUUUGAGUCAGUGAAAAAAAAUGAAUGAACUCACCUCCUUCCAGACUUUCUGACAAAAUCUGAUCCAUGAGAAGGGACCCAGGCUGCCCCACAGUGCAUGUGGGAUGGCCGUCCGCCCAGACUGAAGUGCAGCUGCCCUUUCGCUUUCCUGCUUUCCACCCCUGCCAAGGUUUAUCUCCCAGCAGUGAUUACUAUCUGUGCCCAGUGGAGCUCCUACCACCGUCUGGAGCCACCAGAGACACCUUGGUCUUGUGGUUUGCCAGAAGAGUGACUUCCGCCACCAUUAGAGCCAGGGUUUCUGCCUCUGACAUCUUGGUCGUUUCCUGAAACAAAAUUUGAAGGUUAAUCGUAAUUGACCAAGGAAGGGCAUUGUGGGUUCUGCCACCUCCCUCAUUCCCACAUUAUUUACCUUCUCCACCAGGGCUGUCACCAAGGCCACCGUAACCACUGAAGUUUUUGCCCAUCAAUAAAGUGGAUUCUAUUACAGUAUCACUCAGCCUUCUUAUUUACUUCUAUACUGUUCAACUAAUCUCUUGAGAGGAGUUCUUUGGUGUCUAACUUAGCCAGGUUGGCAGGCCGUCAAGAGCCUUCUCUUGAGAAAAGCUUAUUUGGCUCGCCUUGAAGUUUGCUUGUCCAUCCACCUUCAGU
Molecule: long non-coding RNA, 4319 nt
Organism: Cervus elaphus (red deer)
Lineage: Eukaryota; Metazoa; Chordata; Mammalia; Artiodactyla; Cervidae
Exons: 4
Source: RefSeq, a predicted model, not a curated record